CAACAUAAAGAUUUAAUUUAAUCUAGUGUUAUAGAUGAAAAUUUAAAUAUGCCAGACUCAGGAAAUAUAAAAUUGAGGUGUUCACAGCCACUGGCAUUUAGCCCCUUUGCAGAGGCAUUGAAUUUUAUUAGAUCAAUGCUAUAAGGAUAUGCUGCUGGCAACAAUGCAGUUGACAGGUGCUGUGAAAAGCAUAACAUUCAACUUCCCAGCUUCCCCACACUUUCCAUAUCCUCUUGAAUUAACAUAAAUAUUUGUAAUGAAUAUAAUAUAUGGCAUUCCACAUAGAAUUAUUUUGGCUUUUGGAAAAAAAAGAUAAUUUUUCAUUGGAAAGUACCUCUGUGAUCUACCAACUACUGACUAAAUUUAACGAGGUGCUAUAUACUAAAUGUACUUCAAAUCUUUAUAUUAAUAGCUGAUAUUUUCAGUUCCUGGUUUGUAUGGAUUGUCUAUUGCAGAAUGCCUAAAAAGGUAAUGUAUUCUAAACUUUAAUUGAAACCCGUGAGGUAAGGGGAUUUGGGUUGAUCAAAAUGAGAAAAAAAAUGUUUUCUGAUAAUUUGCUUCCCUCUUUUUCUUUCAAGGUCCCUAGAGUUUCCAGAAGAGCUUUGUACCUGUAUGCUUCAUAUUUGCUUACUUUGAGAUACGAUGUCGCUGGUAGAGGAUUCACAUAAUUUAUGAAAUGUAACUGAAUGUAUUUAAGUGUUGUGGUGAAUACAGAGAAGAACCUUAUGAUGGCAAACAGCUGCAAGGGUCUACAGUGCACAAAGAUCAACCACCCUAAUACUAAAGAUGUGAGUCACUGAAAAAAAUCAUUAACUAUUUCCUACACCACAUCACCUGAUAUUAGGUCAAAGUAAUACAGACCAGCUGUUUCAUGAUCCCCUGACCCCAAAUAUCACUGCUGCAAUUAAUAUGGACCAGCCGGACAGGACCACCUAGAAUCCUAACGAACCAAGCCUUAGACAAAUGCCUGUUCUUUGCUAUGUCUGUGAGGACUUUCAAAUCUCAGUGUCUUAAAGAAGGAAGAUAAAAAUUAUCAAAACUAUUAUUUCAUCAGAUUUCUUUAAUCAGGUUUAUUAUAAAAUACUGACUUAUAACACAUGCAUUCAGAGCUCUCUGCAAUGCUGUGUGCUCAAGCCUGAAUAGAAAGCAGCAGCUAAAGUUUUGCCCCAACACAAUCACAUUCACAGUCUCCUCCUCAGAGGAGAACAUUUUCUUUCUUUCUAGAUUGGAGGCAGGUGGGGGACAAGUGGUUAUUGAGUUAAUUUGAUACUGGUCAUACCUAAAUUCAAUUCCCUGCUCUAUUACAGAACAAUGGCGUCCAUAAUUUAUGAUAAAUUUUCACAGCUGUAAAGCACAGACCACUGGUAUGAGAUUCAGCUUUAAAUAAAAUUAAUUUGUAUCUCUGUAGCUGGCAAACUGCAAAAGUAUAACUCUUACAUGUAUACUAUAUUUUAAUCAAGACUGCAUACCUUUGUUUUCACAAAGUAUUGUGAAUUAAAAAUAAGCUUCAUUCCAUGGCACUCAAUACAGAAAUGAUAGUCUCUCUCUGCUUUGCAAAGCUGCUAUAAAAAUAUACUUCAAAAACCAUGCUGCAUUCACACGGCAUAGGAUGAACAUACAGAAUGCAUGUUUGGAAGACACUGACAUACAAAUUUGUCUACUUUCUUUAUGAAAUUCAAAGGGGAAAAACAAAAGAAAAUGUGACUUAUUUUAUUUAAUGUUUGAUUUCCAUGUGCAGUUUUAAAUUUUUUUUCCCUAAAAAAAUCCUUUAUUAUGGAUAAUAUAAACCAUGAUCAA
Long non-coding RNA from Taeniopygia guttata (zebra finch), 1797 nucleotides. Lineage: Eukaryota; Metazoa; Chordata; Aves; Passeriformes; Estrildidae. The record is from Ensembl.